RNAcentral lists this unclassified non-coding RNA (391 nucleotides) under soil metagenome. RNAcentral describes it as "partial contains 5.8S ribosomal RNA, internal transcribed spacer 2, and large subunit ribosomal RNA". The stretch from base 1 to 122 matches the Rfam family "5.8S ribosomal RNA", at positions 35 to 154 of the family's 154-position model. The record is from RNAcentral.
GAUGAAGAACGUAGCGAAAUGCGAUACUUGGUGUGAAUUGCAGAAUCCCGUGAACCAUCGAGUCUUUGAACGCAAGUUGCGCCCGAAGCCAUUAGGCCGAGGGCACGCCUGCCUGGGUGUCACACGUCGUUGCCCCCCCAUCUACUCCUUCGGGAUUGCGGGGGGCGGAUGAUGGCCUCCCGUGCGCCUCGUCGCGCGGUUGGCAUAAAUGCCAAGUCCUCGGCGACGCACGCCACGACAAUCGGUGGUUGCGAAACCUCGGUUGCCCGUCGUGUGCGGUCGUCGCGCAUCGAGGGCUCGAAAAAAUUGCCGGGCUCCGGCUCGGCUUUCAACGCGACCCCAGGUCAGGCGGGGUUACUCGCUGAAUUUAAGCAUAUCAAUAAGCGGAGGA